UGACUCCUCACUAGGACUACCUUGGCCAAGAUUUUGCUAAAUUGAAACACGACUGUACACAGCUUCUAAACUGGAGUGGUCAAUUUCAUCUUGACACACACACCGACAAGUCAAGUACUUGACUACACCCAGCAACCUUUCAUCACUGAACUAGAAAUUCAGGUAGUCCAGUGCCUAAGUGCAGUGAGUUGCUUGCAAGUCACCGUGGCGGUCUCA
This 216-nucleotide long non-coding RNA is filed under the name Elaeis guineensis (African oil palm). RNAcentral describes it as "long non-coding RNA (EGUI_LNC059465)". Lineage: Eukaryota; Viridiplantae; Streptophyta; Magnoliopsida; Arecales; Arecaceae. The record is from RNAcentral.